UUGGGCGUAAGAGCUCGUAGGCGGUUUGUUGCGUCGGCUGUGAAAUCCCGAGGCUCAACCUCGGGUCUGCAGUCGAUACGAGCAAACUAGAGUGUUGCAGGGGAGACUGGAAUUCCUGGUGUAGCGGUGAAAUGCGCAGAUAUCAGGAGGAACACCGGUGGCGAAGGCGGGUCUCUGGGCAACAACUGACGCUGAGGAGCGAAAGCGUGGGGAGCGAACAGGAUUAGAUACCCUGGUAGUCCACGCCGUAAACGUUGGGCGCUAGGUGUGGGGCUCAUUCCACGAGUUCCGUGCCGCAGCUAACGCAUUAAGCGCCCCGCCUGGGGAGUACGGCCGCAAGGCUAAAACUCAAAGGAAUUGACGGGGGCCCGCACAAGCGGCGGAGCAUGUUGCUUAAUUCGAUGCAACGCGAAGAACCUUACCUAGGCUUGACAUGCACGGAAAUCCUCCAGAGAUGGGGGGUCCGUAAGGGCCGUGCACAGGUGGUGCAUGGUUGUCGUCAGCUCGUGUCGUGAGAUGUUGGGUUAAGUCCCGCAACGAGCGCAACCCUCGUCCUAUGUUGCCAGCACGUGAUGGUGGGGACUCAUAGGAGACUGCCGGGGUCAACUCGGAGGAAGGUGGGGAUGACGUCAAAUCAUCAUGCCCCUUAUGUCUAGGGCUGCAAACAUGCUACAAUGGCCGGUACAAAGGGCUGCGAUACCGCGAGGUGGAGCGAAUCCCAAAAAGCCGGUCUCAGUUCGGAUUGGGGUCUGCAACUCGACCCCAUGAAGUUGGAGUCGCUAGUAAUCGCAGAUCAGCAACGCUGCGGUGAAUACGUUCCCGGGCCUUGUACACACCGCCCGUCACGUCACGAAAGUCGGUAAC
Molecule: ribosomal RNA, 864 nt
Filed under: Blastococcus sp.
Lineage: Bacteria; Bacillati; Actinomycetota; Actinomycetes; Geodermatophilales; Geodermatophilaceae
Description: bacterial SSU rRNA
Rfam family: Bacterial small subunit ribosomal RNA
Source: RNAcentral